UCCGGGGUGUGUGAUAGUAAGUAAGGUUGAUCCUGUGUCUCCUUUUUCUCAUGUAAAAUAGGUUCCACGUGCCUACAUGAAAUGGGGUUGUAAUGAAGAUAAAAGUUAACUGAUAUAUUCUAAAUAUCUGGCACAGAGUUGAAAUUCAGUAUGGAGCAGUUGUAUUAGUAAAAUUGCAAAUUCUCCAGAAUGGGAAAAGGGGGACUUUUUCAUACGCAGAACUGAAGAUGCCACAGAGAGAGAGAAAAUGCUUCAUGUUUGAAUGAAGAUUCUUGAGAAAUCAAGAAAGUAUGGGGAAAGGAGCUAUAGCAGAAAAGUGUCUUUGGACAGGUGGAAAAAUACAUGGGAGGCAGAGAGAAGAAAUUGCCCAGUGCCAAACAGAUACAAGUUCAUGAAAGAAAGCAAACAGUUCAAAGUCACUAUAAUCCUGAAUGCGUAUUGUUCUUAAAUUAAGAAAUAGAUGAAUCCUACCUAAUUGGUAUUUUUUUCUUAUUCAGUAUUUUGCACUUUGGUAUAAUUGGUAUUUGACAAAUUAGAAAUUAGCAAACAAAGGAUAAAUGUAGUACAAUUUAACCAACUUUUAAUAUGUGAAUAGUGACUUAUCUGUCUGAAGGAGCGCCAUAUUUCUAUUUUUGCCUGAAGUUUCCUGAGGUUGGAAAAUGCCUUCUUAAUCUUCAAAUUUACUUGAAGAUGGUUUUAUAGGUAGAGAAAUGUCCAUUUUUUCUUUUUUCUUCUCUAAAAGCACAACUUUUUAAAAUAAUU
This is a long non-coding RNA of Mustela erminea (ermine), 762 nucleotides long. RefSeq lists it as uncharacterized. The transcript is spliced from 3 exons. NCBI's taxonomy places the organism in Eukaryota, Metazoa, Chordata, Mammalia, Carnivora, Mustelidae. The record is from RefSeq and is a predicted model, not a curated record.